Molecule: ribosomal RNA, 428 nt
Filed under: uncultured bacterium
Lineage: Bacteria
Description: bacterial SSU rRNA
Rfam family: Bacterial small subunit ribosomal RNA
Source: RNAcentral
UGGGGAAUUUUGCGCAAUGGGCUAACGCCUGACGCAGCAACGCCGCGUGGAGGAUGAAGGUCUUUGGAUUGUAAACUCCUGUCGGCAGGGAACAAGCGAGCCGGCCUAAUACGCCGGUGAGUUGAUUGUACCUGCGGAGGAAGCCCCGGCUAACUCUGUGCCAGCAGCCGCGGUAAUACAGAGGGGGCAAGCGUUAUUCGGAAUUAUUGGGCGUAAAGGGCGCGUAGGCGGCCUGGCAAGUGGAAGGUGAAAUCCCUCGGCUUAACCGAGGAACUGCCCUCCAAACUGCUUGGCUUGAGUCCGGGAGAGGUGAGUGGAAUUCCCAGUGUAGCGGUGAAAUGCGUAGAUAUUGGGAGGAACACCAGUGGCGAAGGCGGCUCACUGGACCGGAACUGACGCUGAGGCGCGAAAGCGUGGGGAGCAAACGG